UGUUACCUACGGGGGGCAGCAGUGAGGAAUAUUGGUCAAUGGGCGAGAGCCUGAACCAGCCAAGUCGCGUGAGGGAAGACGGCCCUACGGGUUGUAAACCUCUUUUGUCAGGGAGCAAGAACGGAUACGUGUAUCCGAGCGAGAGUACCUGAAGAAAAAGCAUCGGCUAACUACGUGCCAGCAGCCGCGGUAAUACGUAGGUGGCAAGCGUUGUCCGGAUUUACUGGGUGUAAAGGGCGUGUAGCCGGGCUGACAAGUCAGAUGUGAAAUCCGGGGGCUCAACCCCCGCACUGCAUUUGAAACUG
RNAcentral lists this ribosomal RNA (305 nucleotides) under uncultured bacterium. RNAcentral describes it as "bacterial SSU rRNA". It matches the Rfam family "Bacterial small subunit ribosomal RNA", at positions 333 to 635 of the family's 1533-position model. The record is from RNAcentral.